UACAGAGGGUGCGAGCGUUAAUCGGAAUUACUGGGCGUAAAGCGUGCGUAGACGGUUAUGUAAGUCGGAUGUGAAAGCCCCGGGCUCAACCUGGGAAUUGCAUUCGAGACUGCAUAGCUAGGAUGCGGAAGAGGAAAGCGGAAUUCCACGUGUAGCGGUGAAAUGCGUAGAGAUGUGGAGGAACACCAGUGGCGAAGGCGGCUUUCUGGUCUGUAACUAACGCUGAGGCGCGAAAGCGUGGGGAGCAAACAGG
RNAcentral lists this ribosomal RNA (253 nucleotides) under uncultured bacterium. RNAcentral describes it as "partial 16S ribosomal RNA". It matches the Rfam family "Bacterial small subunit ribosomal RNA", at positions 524 to 776 of the family's 1533-position model. The record is from RNAcentral.